RNAcentral lists this ribosomal RNA (492 nucleotides) under uncultured bacterium. RNAcentral describes it as "partial 16S ribosomal RNA". It matches the Rfam family "Bacterial small subunit ribosomal RNA", at positions 29 to 507 of the family's 1533-position model. The record is from RNAcentral.
AGUGAACGCUGGCGGUAGGCCUAACACAUGCAAGUCGAGCGGCAGCACAGUAAGAGCUUGCUCUUACGGGUGGCGAGUGGCGGACGGGUGCUGAAUACAUCUCACUCUACUUUUUCUUGCGGGAUAACGUAGGGAAUCUUACGCUAAUACCGCAUACGACCUACGGGUGAAAGCAGGGGAUCUUCGGACCUUGCUCGAUUUCAUGAGCCGAGGUCGGAUUAGCUAGUUGGUGGGGUAAAGGCCCACCAAGGCGACGAUCCGUAGCUGGUCUGAGAGGAUGAUCAGACACACUGGAACUGAGACACGGUCCAGACUCCUACGGGAGGCAGCAGUGGGGAAUAUUGGACAAUGGGAGAAAGCCUGAUCCAGCCAUGCCGCGUGGGGGAAGAAGGCAUUCGGAUUGUAAAGCCCUUUUGUUGGGAAAGAAAAGCAGCAGGUUAAUACCCCGCUGUUCUGACGGUACCCAAAGAAUAAGCACCGGCUAACUUCGUG